Molecule: ribosomal RNA, 2906 nt
Filed under: Escherichia coli
Lineage: Bacteria; Pseudomonadati; Pseudomonadota; Gammaproteobacteria; Enterobacterales; Enterobacteriaceae
Description: 23S ribosomal RNA
Rfam family: Bacterial large subunit ribosomal RNA
Source: RNAcentral
GGUUAAGCGACUAAGCGUACACGGUGGAUGCCCUGGCAGUCAGAGGCGAUGAAGGACGUGCUAAUCUGCGAUAAGCGUCGGUAAGGUGAUAUGAACCGUUAUAACCGGCGAUUUCCGAAUGGGGAAACCCAGUGUGUUUCGACACACUAUCAUUAACUGAAUCCAUAGGUUAAUGAGGCGAACCGGGGGAACUGAAACAUCUAAGUACCCCGAGGAAAAGAAAUCAACCGAGAUUCCCCCAGUAGCGGCGAGCGAACGGGGAGCAGCCCAGAGCCUGAAUCAGUGUGUGUGUUAGUGGAAGCGUCUGGAAAGGCGCGCGAUACAGGGUGACAGCCCCGUACACAAAAAUGCACAUAUUGUGAGCUCGAUGAGUAGGGCGGGACACGUGGUAUCCUGUCUGAAUAUGGGGGGACCAUCCUCCAAGGCUAAAUACUCCUGACUGACCGAUAGUGAACCAGUACCGUGAGGGAAAGGCGAAAAGAACCCCGGCGAGGGGAGUGAAAAAGAACCUGAAACCGUGUACGUACAAGCAGUGGGAGCACGCUUAGGCGUGUGACUGCGUACCUUUUGUAUAAUGGGUCAGCGACUUAUAUUCUGUAGCAAGGUUAACCGAAUAGGGGAGCCGAAGGGAAACCGAGUCUUAACUGGGCGUUAAGUUGCAGGGUAUAGACCCGAAACCCGGUGAUCUAGCCAUGGGCAGGUUGAAGGUUGGGUAACACUAACUGGAGGACCGAACCGACUAAUGUUGAAAAAUUAGCGGAUGACUUGUGGCUGGGGGUGAAAGGCCAAUCAAACCGGGAGAUAGCUGGUUCUCCCCGAAAGCUAUUUAGGUAGCGCCUCGUGAAUUCAUCUCCGGGGGUAGAGCACUGUUUCGGCAAGGGGGUCAUCCCGACUUACCAACCCGAUGCAAACUGCGAAUACCGGAGAAUGUUAUCACGGGAGACACACGGCGGGUGCUAACGUCCGUCGUGAAGAGGGAAACAACCCAGACCGCCAGCUAAGGUCCCAAAGUCAUGGUUAAGUGGGAAACGAUGUGGGAAGGCCCAGACAGCCAGGAUGUUGGCUUAGAAGCAGCCAUCAUUUAAAGAAAGCGUAAUAGCUCACUGGUCGAGUCGGCCUGCGCGGAAGAUGUAACGGGGCUAAACCAUGCACCGAAGCUGCGGCAGCGACGCUUAUGCGUUGUUGGGUAGGGGAGCGUUCUGUAAGCCUGCGAAGGUGUGCUGUGAGGCAUGCUGGAGGUAUCAGAAGUGCGAAUGCUGACAUAAGUAACGAUAAAGCGGGUGAAAAGCCCGCUCGCCGGAAGACCAAGGGUUCCUGUCCAACGUUAAUCGGGGCAGGGUGAGUCGACCCCUAAGGCGAGGCCGAAAGGCGUAGUCGAUGGGAAACAGGUUAAUAUUCCUGUACUUGGUGUUACUGCGAAGGGGGGACGGAGAAGGCUAUGUUGGCCGGGCGACGGUUGUCCCGGUUUAAGCGUGUAGGCUGGUUUUCCAGGCAAAUCCGGAAAAUCAAGGCUGAGGCGUGAUGACGAGGCACUACGGUGCUGAAGCAACAAAUGCCCUGCUUCCAGGAAAAGCCUCUAAGCAUCAGGUAACAUCAAAUCGUACCCCAAACCGACACAGGUGGUCAGGUAGAGAAUACCAAGGCGCUUGAGAGAACUCGGGUGAAGGAACUAGGCAAAAUGGUGCCGUAACUUCGGGAGAAGGCACGCUGAUAUGUAGGUGAAGUCCCUCGCGGAUGGAGCUGAAAUCAGUCGAAGAUACCAGCUGGCUGCAACUGUUUAUUAAAAACACAGCACUGUGCAAACACGAAAGUGGACGUAUACGGUGUGACGCCUGCCCGGUGCCGGAAGGUUAAUUGAUGGGGUUAGCCGCAAGGCGAAGCUCUUGAUCGAAGCCCCGGUAAACGGCGGCCGUAACUAUAACGGUCCUAAGGUAGCGAAAUUCCUUGUCGGGUAAGUUCCGACCUGCACGAAUGGCGUAAUGAUGGCCAGGCUGUCUCCACCCGAGACUCAGUGAAAUUGAACUCGCUGUGAAGAUGCAGUGUACCCGCGGCAAGACGGAAAGACCCCGUGAACCUUUACUAUAGCUUGACACUGAACAUUGAGCCUUGAUGUGUAGGAUAGGUGGGAGGCUUAGAAGUGUGGACGCCAGUCUGCAUGGAGCCGACCUUGAAAUACCACCCUUUAAUGUUUGAUGUUCUAACGUUGACCCGUAAUCCGGGUUGCGGACAGUGUCUGGUGGGUAGUUUGACUGGGGCGGUCUCCUCCUAAAGAGUAACGGAGGAGCACGAAGGUUGGCUAAUCCUGGUCGGACAUCAGGAGGUUAGUGCAAUGGCAUAAGCCAGCUUGACUGCGAGCGUGACGGCGCGAGCAGGUGCGAAAGCAGGUCAUAGUGAUCCGGUGGUUCUGAAUGGAAGGGCCAUCGCUCAACGGAUAAAAGGUACUCCGGGGAUAACAGGCUGAUACCGCCCAAGAGUUCAUAUCGACGGCGGUGUUUGGCACCUCGAUGUCGGCUCAUCACAUCCUGGGGCUGAAGUAGGUCCCAAGGGUAUGGCUGUUCGCCAUUUAAAGUGGUACGCGAGCUGGGUUUAGAACGUCGUGAGACAGUUCGGUCCCUAUCUGCCGUGGGCGCUGGAGAACUGAGGGGGGCUGCUCCUAGUACGAGAGGACCGGAGUGGACGCAUCACUGGUGUUCGGGUUGUCAUGCCAAUGGCACUGCCCGGUAGCUAAAUGCGGAAGAGAUAAGUGCUGAAAGCAUCUAAGCACGAAACUUGCCCCGAGAUGAGUUCUCCCUGACUCCUUGAGAGUCCUGAAGGAACGUUGAAGACGACGACGUUGAUAGGCCGGGUGUGUAAGCGCAGCGAUGCGUUGAGCUAACCGGUACUAAUGAACCGUGAGGCUUAACCUU